CCUACGGGAGACAGCAGUGGGGAAUAUUGGGCAAUGGGCGCAAGCCUGACCCAGCAACGCCGCGUGAAGGAAGAAGGCUUUCGGGUUGUAAACUUCUUUUGUCAGGGAAGAGUAGAAGACGGUACCUGACGAAUAAGCCACGGCUAACUACGUGCCAGCAGCCGCGGUAAUACGUAGGUGGCAAGCGUUGUCCGGAUUUACUGGGUGUAAAGGGCGUGUAGCCGGGUUGACAAGUCAAAUGUGAAAUCCUGCGGCUUAACCGCAGAACUGCAUUUGAAACUGUUGAUCUUGAGUACUGGAGAGGCAGACGGAAUUCCUAGUGUAGCGGUGAAAUGCGUAGAUAUUAGGAGGAACACCAGUGGCGAAGGCGGUCUGCUGGACAGCAACUGACGGUGAGGCGCGAAAGCGUGGGGAGCAAACAGGAUUAGAUACCCCAGUAGUC
RNAcentral lists this ribosomal RNA (442 nucleotides) under uncultured bacterium. Its description in RNAcentral is "partial 16S ribosomal RNA". It matches the Rfam family "Bacterial small subunit ribosomal RNA", at positions 338 to 795 of the family's 1533-position model. The record is from RNAcentral.